RNAcentral lists this long non-coding RNA (2838 nucleotides) under Capsicum annuum. RNAcentral's name for it is "long non-coding RNA (CANN_LNC002418)". The record is from RNAcentral. Lineage: Eukaryota; Viridiplantae; Streptophyta; Magnoliopsida; Solanales; Solanaceae.
CUGCGUUAAAACAAAACGAAAGGGGACUGAGAUAAAAUUGCAAAACCAGGUUUCUACUGAUGCGAAGUCGACUUCCAUAGAGAAUACAGCGAGUGUAUUUGGGUGCCGGACACUUAAUAAAUACGUACUGAAACAACUGAACACUAAGAUCAUUUUCGUUUCCUUUCUAUGAUUAGCGGAACAAAAUCAUCUUAUAAUGUACGAUAUGACACAACAAAUUAUACUAGUAUUUAGAAUUUGAUCUUAUACAAUGACAACAUAUCCAAUAUAGUCUCACAACGUGGGGUCUGCGGAGUGUACAGUGUAAGGUAGACCGUACCCCUACCUUAGAGGUAGAGAGGUUGCUUUCCGAUAGACCCUCAGCUCAAGAAAAAACAGUCAAGGAAAAAAAUAAUGAAAGAACAAGAAACGACAUACAGUAAUAGCAUAGUAGUACAACAAAAUAAUACUAGUCGAACUACAAAAAAAAAAGAUCUUAUCACAUUAAAUCAGAAGAACAUUGCAAAAUCAUGCCUAGUCGAAAUGGCUUGGUCUGUGACUAAAGCCUCGAGAACAAAAUUUUAACAUAUAUACGACAUGUUUACCUACAGAAACAGAUGAAGCCUGUUAUCUAUGAGUUCAACUGAACCUAGUAUUUUCGACAUGGAACAUACAUAUAUAUGUGAAAAUAUCAGUUACAUUUUGAACUCAUCGGUUCAAAUCCUGGAUCUGCAUUUGCAGCUACACAAAUACAUUUGCGGUCGCGUACAGUGGCAGAGCCAGGAUUUCUGCUGAGGAGGUUCAAAAUCUAAAGAAAACUCACCGAAGGGGAUUCAAAAUCAACAAUAUAUACAUAAAAAUUAUUUUGAUCCGUCGAAGGGGGUUUAGAAGAACCCCCUAUUACUAGACUGGCUCCGCCUCUGGUCGCGUAUCAUAAACCAUCUCAGCAAUUGAAGAAGCCUUAGUAUAUGCAUACAAUUCUAGGCACAACGAGUUCACACACAUCAUUGUCCAUUUUCACAUCAAAAACUAUUCCAGUUUUUUGAAUUUCAUACCUGAACUAUUACGUUUAUGAGUUUCAUACCUGAACUAUCACCAAAUGUUUAUCGAAACACACCUUAACUACAAGUUGCUAACUUUUCCUACCUGAAUUAUCACCAUCAUUCGUGUAAGAAAAGUGAACAACUGAUAACUGAAGUGUGUUUCGAUAAACACUUGUCGAUAGUUCAGAUAUGAAACUCAAUAAAACAGGAUACUUUAGGUGUGUUUCGACGAACACCAACAAACACUUAUCUCUGCUUUUAUAUAAACAUAGAAAAAUUCACAGAUUCACAAAAUUCGAAAAUCUCUUGAAUAACAAUUUGAUAUAUAUCAUAGUUUUGAUAUUCCAUAGUUUUGGUGUUUUUAGAUAAAUAUUACUGUGUGUCUGUGCGUAAUAAUUUCGCAAACAUAGACAUUUGCACAUUCACAAAAAUUGUUCAAAAAUACACAGUACUCGUAGCUGUAUAACUUUUGAAUAUUAAUACAAACAAACAAAUUAAAAACUCGUAAUGAAUAAUUUCUUCUACGGAUUUUCCUAAGCAAUUAAUCGUAAUGAGACAUGUAAUAUUAUUACUGUGUGUCUCUGUGUAAUAAUUUCACAAACAUAGACAUUUACACAUUCAGAAAAAAUGUUCAAAAAUACACAGUACUCAUAGUUGUAUAACUUUUGAAUAUUACUAUACAAACAACAACAUACCGAGUGUAUUCCUACAUAGUGGGGUCUAGGGAGGGUAGAGUGUACGCAGACCAUACCAUUACCUCAGGUGAGAAGUAGAGAGGCUGUUUCCGAUAGACCCCGGCUUAGGACCGAUAAUAAUAUAACAAACAAAAAACGUAAAUGUAUAGUACAAUAUGCAAAUACACUAACACCGCUAUCCUCAAAAUAAUACUACAGCCACAACAUAAUACUAGAAACUAUCUAACCAAAACCAUAGACAUUACACAACAAACUAACACCGCUAUCCUCAAAAUAAUACUACAGCCACAAGAUAAUACUAGAAACUAUCUAACCAAAACCAUAGACAUUACACAACACCAUGAACAAGAAACUUCAGACACAAAAGAAACACUCCCCUACUGUUACCGACGCACUCUCACCCUGUAACCCUCUACCCUAAUCCGCAUCAUCCACAGCUUCCUAUCAAAGGUCAUGUCCUCUGUAAGCUGUAAUUGCUCCAUAUCAUGCCUAAUCACCUCCCUCCAAUAUUUCUCUAGCUUACCUGUACCCCGCCUAAAACCAUCCAUACACAAGGUCUCACACCUCCGCACUGGAGCCUAAAACCAUCCAUACACAAGGUCUCACACCUCCGCACUGGAGCAUCAGAACCCCUCCUCAUCACGUACUCGAACCAACCUCCUCAUCACGUACUCGAACCAACGUAACCUCACUUCUCGCAUCUUGUCCUCCACCGAAGCAACUCUCACUUCUCCCGAAUAAUCUCAUUCCUCACCCUAUCUUUCCUGGUAAGGCCACACAUCCAUCGCAAUGAAUAAUUUCUUCUACGGAUUAUAAAAUCAAUUAACGUAAUGAAACAUGUACCUGAACGUAAACUCCUUAGAUGAACAUCAACAAAUACUAAACUUUGCUUUAAAAAAAAAAAAAAAAACUCUUCAGAUUCCCAAAAAUAUAGAGAACUAUGAGCUGAAUAAUUUUUUUCAGUUGUAAAUAUAUGAAUACUUUGUAGGUUUUGUAUAUUGUAGAUAUGGUGAUUUUAGCUAAUAUUAGUGUGUGUCUGUGUGUAAAAAAUUGGCCAUGAAGAAGAAUAUGAGAAGAGUUGUAAUAUGAUUAGGGAAAUUCGGCUUUUAAUUCGUUUUUUG